Molecule: long non-coding RNA, 342 nt
Organism: Ostrinia furnacalis (Asian corn borer)
Lineage: Eukaryota; Metazoa; Arthropoda; Insecta; Lepidoptera; Crambidae
Exons: 3
Source: RefSeq, a predicted model, not a curated record
CUACAGUACUUUUUUACAGGUUGUCAAGCGUCUGCCAACCCUAACGAACUCACAUACAAGUGGUACGUGAACAAUGAUCAGAUAGCUGGUGACAGCAGUGAGCUGGUACUGAAAAACAUAUCCCGGUCUUACAACGAGGCUACAGUCAAGUGUGAGGUGCACAAUAUCAUUGGAAAGAGUGCCGAUACGAAGACCUUGGAAGUGGCAUAUGGACCAACCUUCCUAGAGCGUCCCAAGAACGUGGAAGUGGAGGCUGGAUCGCAAGCUACCCUCAGCUGUAAGGUUGAUGGCCAUCCACCCCCGAAGGUGCUAUGGCUGCGGUAUGAAAACGACCGGGUUAUA